AACGAACGCUGGCGGCAUGCCUAACACAUGCAAGUCGAACGAGACCUUCGGGUCUAGUGGCGCACGGGUGCGUAACGCGUGGGAACCUGCCCUUAGGUUCGGAAUAACUCCCCGAAAGGGGUGCUAAUACCGGAUAAUGUCUUCGGACCAAAGAUUUAUCGCCUUUGGAUGGGCCCGCGUUGGAUUAGCUAGUUGGUAGGGUAAAAGCCUACCAAGGCGACGAUCCAUAGCUGGUCUGAGAGGAUGAUCAGCCACACUGGGACUGAGACACGGCCCAGACUCCUACGGGAGGCAGCAGUGGAGAAUAUUGGACAAUGGGCGAGAGCCUGAUCCAGCAAUGCCGCGUGAGUGAUGAAGGCCUUAGGGUUGUAAAGCUCUUUUACCCGGGAUGAUAAUGACAGUACCGGGAGAAUAAGCUCCGGCUAACUCCGUG
RNAcentral lists this ribosomal RNA (433 nucleotides) under uncultured bacterium. Its description in RNAcentral is "partial 16S ribosomal RNA". It matches the Rfam family "Bacterial small subunit ribosomal RNA", at positions 29 to 507 of the family's 1533-position model. The record is from RNAcentral.